This 428-nucleotide ribosomal RNA is filed under the name Mashonarus davidi. RNAcentral describes it as "partial 16S ribosomal RNA". The record is from RNAcentral. Lineage: Eukaryota; Metazoa; Arthropoda; Arachnida; Araneae; Salticidae.
UUCUAUUAGUAAUAAUUAAUAGUAUAAUCUGCUCACUGUAUUAUAAAGAGCCGCAAUACGUGCUAAGGUAGCAUAAUCAUUUGUCUUUUAAAUGAGGACUAGAACAAAAGAUUUAACAUUUCAAUUUAUAUUUAUAAUUAAAUAAUUUAAUUUAUCCUAAAUAUAAAAAGAUAUUUAUAUAAAAGAUAGACGAUAAGACCCUAUUGAACUUUACUGAAGUUUAACUGGGGCAGUUAAUUAAUUAUCAUUUUAAUAAAAAUUUUUCUAAAAAGAUUCCAUUAUUGAAUAAUUAAGUUACCAUAGGGAUAACAGCAUAAUUAUCUUUUUCAAGCUCUUAUUUAAAAAAUAGAUUAUGACCUCGAUGUUGAAUUAAUUACCUCUAUGAAGCAAGAUUUAUAAAAGGAAGUCUGUUCGACUUUUUAAAAAUU